This 1841-nucleotide long non-coding RNA is filed under the name Homo sapiens (human). RNAcentral's name for it is "HSALNT0352514". The record is from RNAcentral. Lineage: Eukaryota; Metazoa; Chordata; Mammalia; Primates; Hominidae.
UCCAUUUUGGAUAGCUCACUAUCAGUUUAUAGAAAUGGUAAAUCACCCUUUGUGGAUAAAGCAUGGGUACUCAGCAAUUAGGAAUAAACCCUUCAGCUAAUGUCUAAGUUGCUUUCAUUGUUACUUUAUCUGUUUGAUUUCUUGUCUAAAGUUUGAUAAUGGCAACUAACCCAUUUUUAAGAGAAAUUAAAAUGGAUAACAUGCAUGUGAUAUUCUGUGAAAAUUGCAUGACUUCUUUUAAUUAAUUUAAGGAAACUAUAGAUGUGUAGUUAGGGCUUUAAACCAAACUGGUGCAAUUUAUUUUCUGCUAAAUUACAAAGUUAUUUGAUUGAAUUGACAAGUAAUAUUGCUUUGUUUUAUUUUUAAUUCGUUACUGUGCAAAUUCACAUUUGGGGAAUGUAAGAUUAUAUAGGAAACCUUGAACCACCUUUAAAUAACUAUAUUUUUAUUUAUUAAGCCACAAACAGUUUAGUUAUGUUGUUAUGAGCAAAUAUAUUUACUAUUUUUUCUCUGCAAUAGGAAUAGAGAUUUCUUUUGCUCUUCUAUCUCAACUGAAAAGCAUAUGUUUUCUGGAUCACUGCCAUUGGCUCCUUCCAUAGUAUUUAAUAAAUAUAUGCAUUUCAUAGUGUUAGGCUUGUAUAAAUACACUACUAACUUCUCUUCACUAUAAAUGAACUUGAGCAACUCUCAUAUCUACAAUUUCUAGCACCAGAAAAGUGACAUUUUCCUUUAAGAUGGGUAAUAGGCCUUUUGAGGUCAUGGUGGAGUCAUAUACUCCCUUUUAUGACAAUUAUUAGCACCACGUGAGGGCAGAGAGGAAUGUAAAAAAAGUAUCAUUUCAAGUUACUAAGCUACAACCUGCCACCACUGAUGGCAUGUCCACUUACAGCUCACGAGCCAGCUCUUCAUCAAUAAGUGCUGCUUUGCAGUGGUUUGUAAUUGAAUUGUAUGAUGUAAAUGUGGAGACAGCCAAUCAUGAUGUUACAGGAUCUUUGGGGUGUCGAUUUUCUUGCCCAGAAACCUCUGUGGACAGUGGCAUCUUUGCCUGAGUUCUUGUCCUGCAUCCAGGAGGAAUGAGAUACCUGGGAGAGAGGAUUUUUCAUGUUACCAACACAAAGAAAUGAUAAAGUGCUUCCCUUGCAGGUGAAAUGGCCACCAGACCCAGGCUUUCUGGAAUGCAUUCAUUUUCUGCAGUUGAAAGGGACAAUCCCGGAUCUGAAAGAAAGAGCCACAGUGACUCCAAGAGUGGAGCCAGGGCAUGCUGGACACUGCAUAGCUAUGGCCACGUGUGUCACCUCUGAGGGAGAUGUGAGAGAAACGCAGAGGGAUCGCUUGUGACUGUGCCUUCUCGAUGUAUGAUGGACUGUUCUGCUCAAAUAGUAAGUGUGACCAAGGAGCCGGUGAACAUAGGAAACAAAGAAUAUUUCAUUUGACAUUAUAAGGAAUGCGACAAUUCUAGUCACUUGAAAGUGAACUAUAUCUGUCGAGAAUUCCUAGUUUUAAUUGGGAAGAAAUGCGCUUCUCUUCUUGAAAAGCCACAGGUUAUUGCUGUUAUGUCUAAUAUCAGUCCUCUCUGGAUUUCUCAAAAGAUUUUCUGUAUAUCCUACCAUUUUCCUUCUGUUGCUGCAGUUUGGAAGUAGUUUGUUAUCAGGAUUAUCAAAGCAUCAUUGCUAUUUAUGACAAUGACUUUAAGAAAUGCAAGAAUAUUUGGAACACUGUAGAAAAAAUAUUUUAGCCUGGAAGGCAAAUACUAAUUUCAGGAACUAUUGAUCUGUUAUAAAACAGGACCACUCAGACAUUUAGCUCUAAGACUUUCACAUAUCCGUUGUUAGAGGCGUAUA